CAGCCGUAAACUAUGCGCGUUAGGUGUAUCGGUGACCACGAGUUACCGCGGUGCCGAAGGGAAACCGUGAAACGUGCCGCCUGGGAAGUACGGUCGCAAGGCUGAAACUUAAAGGAAUUGGCGGGGGAGCGCCGCAACGGGAGGAGCGUGCGGUUUAAUUGGAUUCAACGCCGAAAACUACNCCAGCAGCGACUGUUACAUGAAAGUCAGGUUGAUGACCUUACUAGAUUUCAGAGAGGAGGUGCAUGGCGUCAGUGACU
RNAcentral lists this ribosomal RNA (260 nucleotides) under uncultured archaeon. Its description in RNAcentral is "partial 16S ribosomal RNA". It matches the Rfam family "Archaeal small subunit ribosomal RNA", at positions 748 to 1008 of the family's 1478-position model. The record is from RNAcentral.